GCCUGUCUGGAUUCAUUCAUGAAACAACAUUUUUUUUAUGAAGGGAGUAUGUGUUAGCUCUAGCUUGUGGCGAUGGCAGUCACAAAGGUGAAUAGUGAUUGCUACUAAAUAUAGUGUUGACUCGGUUACCCUCCUAACAUUGGUAUAGAUUUAUAGUAUAUGGUAUCUAUAUCUAAGUUUAAUAUUAAUAACUAUCUAUAAAGAGCCAAAAUUUCAGGCUGCCAAAUAUUUUCUUCUGCAUGAUCCUGUCCGUGUGUUAGGUUUACCGAUCGCCUCCUUCGUCCAACGUUUCUAGAAGAGCAAAAACAAAAUAAAAAAUAUUCUAGGGUUCCUAAUGCAAAAUCUCAUAUUACUCCGCUCGGUACGAUGGAAGAGAGAAAAAAGAAUAAAAAAUUUUCUAGGUUUCCCAAUGUAAAAUCUCCAAUUUACUUUUCUUUUAUUUUUUAAAUCGACUGAAAAUUAAUAAAUGCAUAGUAAUUUAUAGAAAAAUCUAAAAAUUAUAAAACAAAUUUUGUUCAGCUCCACAUAUGUAGAUCCAUGCAGUAAACAAAAAUAUCACAAAUUUUAGUACACUUUUUUUUGGAAAUGCUUGCCUAUGCUUUUUACUGUAAAAUUAAAAUUGUAGUUAUCUUGCUCCAAUUAUUGGAAGAGAGAAAAAAGAAUAAAAUUUUUUCUAGGGUUCCCAAUGUAAAAUCUCCAAUUAACUUUUCUUUUAUUUUUUAAAUCGGCUGAAAAUUAAUAAAUGCAUAGUAAUUUAUAGAAAAUCUAAAAAUUAUAAAGCAAAUUUUGUUCAGCUCCACAUAUGUAGAUCCAUGC
Molecule: long non-coding RNA, 816 nt
Filed under: Sorghum bicolor (sorghum)
Lineage: Eukaryota; Viridiplantae; Streptophyta; Magnoliopsida; Poales; Poaceae
Description: long non-coding RNA (SBIC_LNC006189)
Source: RNAcentral